UGGGGAAUUUUGCACAAUGGGCGGAAGCCUGAUGCAGCGACGCCGUGUGGGGGAUGAAGGCCUUCGGGUUGUAAACUCCUUUCGUCAGGGACGAAGUUUGUUUGACGGUACCUGGAUAAGAAGCACCGGCUAAUUACGUGCCAGCAGCUGCGGUAAUACGUAGGGUGUGAGCGUUGUCCGGGUUUACUGGGCGUAAAGGGCUCGUGGGUGGUGUGUCGCGUCGUCGGUGUAAUCCAGGGGCUUAACUUUUGGUUGGCAGGCGAUACGGGGAUUGCUUGAGUGCAGUAGAGGAGAGUGGAAUUCCUGGUGUAGCGGUGAAAUGCGCAGAUAUCAGGAGGAACACCGGUGGCGAAGGCAGGUCUCUGGGCAGUUACUGACGCUGAGGAGCGAGAGCAUGGGUAGCGAACAGG
Molecule: ribosomal RNA, 410 nt
Filed under: bacterium
Lineage: Bacteria
Description: partial 16S ribosomal RNA
Rfam family: Bacterial small subunit ribosomal RNA
Source: RNAcentral